UUCUGGGCCCGCCUCUGUCCCCUGCAGCCAACGCGGGCAGGUCUGCCGACUGCAUGCAUGGCUUCCCUGUCCCUGUAAACUCAAUCCUCCUGUUCGCUGUCCCUCUCUCUUUGCGUUUGCCGGUUGACUUGCGUAGCUCGGGCCCCGCGGAGGAUGGGUCCUCUGGAUGUGUGGGACUUGUCGCCUUUGCUGUCACUGUGGAUGAACAGGUUCUACAUAUAUAUGGGCUGUGCCCUGGGCCUUACCCUUUGCAUCUGUGUCCAGAUCAUCAAGAAGCAGGUCACUCGUUCCCAGGAGAAACGUGUCCCAGGAGCUCCUGAUAGCUCCCUCUCCCCUCAGAAGAAGCAGACACACGUUUCUGGAGUGAAGAUUUUUUACGGAUCUCAGACGGGCACUGCCAAGGGAUUUGCAGUGGUUCUUGCCAAAGCUGUCACCUCUCUGGACCUGCCUGUGGCCAUUAUUAAUCUGAAGGAAUAUGAUCCAGAUGACAGUCUGAUAGGAGAGAUCACUAGUAAAACCGUCUGUGCCUUCCUGGUCGCUACGUACACGGACGGCUGCCCUACAGAGAGUGCAGAGUGGUUCUGCAAGUGGUUAGAGGAAUCAGCUAAUGAUUUCCGCUUUGGCAAAACUUACCUGAAGGGACUUCGCUAUGCAGUGUUUGGCCUGGGAGACUCUGCCUACCGGAGCCACUUCAACAAGGUCAGCACGAACGUUGACAAAUGGCUCUGGAUGCUCGGUGCCCAGCGGGUGCUGACCCGAGGGGAAGGCGACUGCAAUGCAGUUCAGAGCAAACAUGGCAGCAUCGAGGCCGACUUCACAGCCUGGAAGACCAAGUUCAUCUCCCGGCUGCAGGCCCUGCAGAGAGGGGAGAAAAAGGCUUGUGGCGGGAACUGCAAGAGAGGGAAGUGUGAGUCGGCCCAGCAUGGCCCAGGAGAGGCGCGGCCUCACCCGCAAGGCGAAUUGCAUCCUGGGGAUGCUGAGGAGGAAGAGCCCUGUGAGAGCAGCAGCGAGGACGAGCUCGGGACCCAGGAUUAUCAGAGCCUGACUUCUGUGGUGGAUGUUGAGGACCUGGGCAACAUCAUGAACCCCGUGAAGAGGGAAAAGAGAGAAAAGUCUCAUCAGGACGGGAAAGCUGCCAUGCAGAGGAACCCAGAGAAGACUGAGGACGGCGAAGGAAGAGCUAUGAUAACACCUGCUCUGCGGGAAGCCCUGACUAAACAAGGGUACCAGCUGAUUGGCAGCCACUCUGGUGUGAAGCUUUGCAGGUGGACAAAGGUAUUUAUUGGUUUUAUUCAAAUAUUAUUUCUAUUUUCUGCAACUUAUUUAUUUUUGUCCAUUUAUUUUGUGUGUGCGCACAUGUGUGGCGGUCAGAGCACAGCCUACAGGAUUUGGUUCUCUUUGUGGGCUCUGGGGACCAAACUGUCUUUUAGUGUGACAGCAGCCACUUGGAUGGCUCCGGUAUGGUUCUCAGCAGUGCUGUUGUGGUAUACUUCACAUGCAGUACGUGGCUCACGUUAGUGUGUCGAUAGCUAUCGUCACAGUCUGACUUGAGGAUCCCUCUCUGGAAGACAGGCCAGCAUCAGCGUGCUCGAGUCUUCCCCCAGCUCUCAUGAGCCAUCGAUCUGCCCAUUGUCUCCACGUGAAGUGGCUCAUUUGACAUUUCAGAAGACUGGAGUCAUAGGCGUGGCUCAUUGCGCCGGCUGCUUUCUCUCACUGGUCUGAUGUUCCUGUGGCAGAGCUGUUGGGCACCAUGAAUCCGCGUUUGAUUCUCCACCGUGGCUGAUGGCAUUGUCUGUUAUUCCUUGUCUGUUUACUGAGACGUUGAUGGACACUGGGGUUGCUUGUGUGUUGGAUGUUAUGGGCGAUGGCUCCGGGGACAUCACUCCGUGGAUGGAUUUAUGUGGUGCACACUUCCGCUGUCGCUGGUGGAUCGCGGUGGCUUGUCUUUUUCCCCAAUGAAUUGUCUAUUUUUCAAAGCGACGGUUCAUUUUAUGUCCCCACCAGCAGUGUUCUGAGGGUCCUGAUUCACUCGCCACUCUCUGCAGUCUCCCUUCCCUACCCUUUUCCUGGUGAUGUCUACCUCCGUAAUCCAGGCUGCUCUCAAGUUUAUGAUCCUUUUGUCUCAGCCUAUGGACUUAUUUAUUUGCUUUUGAGGCCGGGUCACAUGUAGCUCUGGCUGAACUUGAAUUCAUUCCAUAGCUGAGGAUGACCUUGCUUCCCAAAUGCUGGGAUUACACAUGUAGUACCAUGCCCGGUUUGUGUGGUCUUGGGGCUUGAACCCAGGGCCUCAUUCCUGCCGGGUGAGCACUCUACCUCUGAGCUACAUCCCAAAGAAACUAUUUAAUUCUAACUGGUUCCUCUUCCUUCUAAGGUACAAAUAUUCCUUAGAAUAUUAGAAAGAGAUGUUUGCUCUGAUAGUUUCUGUUGCUCCGUCUCCUUUUGGUGGCCGCCCCACACGUUAGUUAAUGGUGGUUUCCACAUGUCACAUUCCCCAUUGUUCUCUUUUCCAGUCCAGUGACUUUCACUGAUGUCCAACUUGGUGCCUUCUGUGCACAGCCAGUAAUAAGCAGUGUCUUUUUUACCAUUGCUAAAUUCAAUUUUCAGAUAGUAAAUCACAUGCAUAAUUUUGAAAGUUCGUGUUUCAUCCAACCUAUAAUGAUAUGAAAGAGGAAGCACUUUAUGAUAAAUCUGUAUUUCCAUGUAGAAUGCUUAGAUGCCUUGGGGAGGGGCUGGCUGCUGCGUCUAGAUCUGCAGUCUCACUUCCUCCAAGGCCGGCUCCUCUUCCUCCUCUUCCUCUUACACUUCCCCCUCUUUCUUCUCAUCCUCUGUCUUCUCUCUCUUUUUUCUCUUUCUCUUUUUAUUCUUCCUCCUCCUCCUCCUCCUGCUCCUCGAUCCCUAUGUGUGGUGCUGAGCAUCAAGCUGGAGUCUCCUCAUCGGUGCUAGUCAGGCAUUUUAUCCCUGAGCCCUGCCAGCAGCCCUCCCACUCUAAGUGGAUCCGUUUAAAUCCGAGAAAGAUCAGAAGACGUUUCUCUACAUGGAAAGCAGUGAGAUGCUUACUUAUAUCUGUCGAUGCUGCGGGGGAGAGGAGGUUGCUACAAACACACAUUCUACGGCAUUGAGAGCCACCGCUGCAUGGAAGCCACCCCAAGCUUGGCGUGUGCGAAUAAAUGUGUCUUCUGCUGGCGGCACCAUACCAAUCCUGUGGGCACUGAGUGGCGGUGGAAGAUGGACCAGCCAGAAUUGAUCUUGAAGGAAGCCAUUGAGAACCAUCAGAACAUGAUUAAACAGUUCAAAGGCGUGCCAGGCCUCAAGGCGGAGCGCUUUGAAGAGGGGAUGGAGGUCAAGCACUGUGCGCUGUCACUCGUGGGUGAGCCGAUCAUGUACCCAGAAAUCAACAGGCUUUUGAAGCUGCUCCACCAGCACGGCAUCUCCAGCUUCCUUGUCACCAAUGCGCAGUUCCCUGAGGAGAUCAGGAAGCUCACACCAGUUACUCAGCUCUACGUGAGCGUGGACGCCAGCACCAGAGACGGCCUGAAGAAGAUCGACCGCCCGCUCUUCAAGGAUUUCUGGCAGCGCUUCCUAGACAGUUUGAAAGCCUUAUCUGCAAAGCAACAACGAACGGUCUACAGACUGACGCUUGUGAAGUGUUGGAACGUGGAUGAACUCCAGGCCUACGCUGAGCUGGUGUCCUUGGGGAACCCCGACUUCAUCGAGGUCAAGGGUGUGACCUACUGUGGUGAGAGUGCAGCCAGCAGCCUCACCAUGGCCAAUGUCCCUUGGCACGAGGAAGUGGUUCGGUUUGUCCGUGAGCUGGUCGAUCUGCUUCCCGACUAUGAAGUUGCGUGUGAACACGAGCACUCCAACUGCCUCCUGAUCGGACACAAGAAGUUUAAGAUCGAUGGAGAAUGGUGGACAUGGAUCAAUUACAGCCGCUUCCAAGAGCUCGUUCUGCAGUACGAAGAGAGUGGAGGCUCCAAGACGUUCAGCUCGAGGGAUUACAUGGCCAGAACCCCACAGUGGGCACUGUUUGGUGCCAGGGAAAGAGGCUUUGAUCCCAAGGACACGAGAUACCAGAGGAAGAACAAAACGAAGGACAUUUCCGGAUGUUGAGCUUAUCUGAGUUAAGGAUCUCCAAAGACAAAAGCUGCGUGGCCCCGGCAGGUCCUUGGCUGCCAUCACUGUCCACGGGGCAACGGUUCACAGCCGUACUUCAUGGUCUGACACCAGCAGGCAGCCAUGCUGCCCACACAGCAUCCACAGGUCGACGCUGCUUACCAGAACUCAUGCCCUUUAAAGAGUCAGUUUCUGAGACAGUGAAGGUGACAGUCACCUGAAUUUUUACAGUUUGGGUUUUAUUUUAGUAAUUUUCCUAAGUGCUAUCCCUGAGUGUUACACAGGGAAUAAACACUGCCGCCUCCGCCUCCUGAGCUACUGGCUUUGUCCUUACCUUCCUCUCUCCUCUUUAGAUCUGCUCUGCUUAGGUGGUACAGGCUGGGGCAUUCCCUCAUGACAGUGCUCCUGCCUCAGCCUGCUGAGAGCUGGGAUUACAGGCCAGCAUCUCCAGGCAGGCUCUCUGAGCUAUUGGCUCUUUGUAGAGUGAUCACUUAGUAUAUUUAGCUUAGAGUGCCCUGGGCUAAACCCUUCUACCCAUCCAAGGUAAGACCUCUGUUUAGAGUCACACCUGAAAAGGAUUGUUCAGUUUUCAAAGGUGUGUGUGUGUUUUCACAUGCAAAUGAGUGUCAUGUUCAUGGAGGCCAGCGUAGGGUGUCAGAUCCCCUGGAGCUGGAGUUACAGGUAGACACAUGGACAUAAAUAAAUGGUUCAGCUGCUGAAGGUG
RNA transcript from Mus musculus (house mouse), 4837 nucleotides. It is a transcript of the gene named tRNA-yW synthesizing protein 1 homolog (S. cerevisiae), with no coding region annotated. The record is from RefSeq and is marked validated. Lineage: Eukaryota; Metazoa; Chordata; Mammalia; Rodentia; Muridae. The transcript has 16 exons.